Non-coding RNA from Pangasianodon gigas (Mekong giant catfish), 71 nucleotides. NCBI's taxonomy places the organism in Eukaryota, Metazoa, Chordata, Actinopteri, Siluriformes, Pangasiidae. The record is from the annotation of a GenBank genome assembly.
GGAGAACAUCUUAGACUUGGAGACUUGGAACCAGAGAUACCCAUAGAGAGAGAGGAAAUAGGGUUUACCCA